AGUGAACGCUGGCGGUAGGCCUAACACAUGCAAGUCGAACGGCAGCACAGUAAGAGCUUGCUCUUACGGGUGGCGAGUGGCGGACGGGUGAGGAAUACAUCGGAAUCUACUUUUUCGUGGGGGAUAACGUAGGGAAACUUACGCUAAUACCGCAUACGACCUACGGGUGAAAGCAGGGGAUCUUCGGACCUUGCGCGAUUGAAUGAGCCGAUGUCGGAUUAGCUAGUUGGCGGGGUAAAGGCCCACCAAGGCGACGAUCCGUAGCUGGUCUGAGAGGAUGAGCAGCCACACUGGAACUGAGACACGGUCCAGACUCCUACGGGAGGCAGCAGUGGGGAAUAUUGGACAAUGAGCGCAAGCCUGAUCCAGCCAUACCGCGUGGGUGAGGAAGGCCUUCGGGUUGUAAAGCCCUUUUGUUGGGAAAGAAAAGCAGCAGGUUAAUACCCCGCUGUUCUGACGGUACCCAAAGAAUAAGCACCGGCUAACUUCGUG
RNAcentral lists this ribosomal RNA (492 nucleotides) under uncultured bacterium. Its description in RNAcentral is "partial 16S ribosomal RNA". It matches the Rfam family "Bacterial small subunit ribosomal RNA", at positions 29 to 507 of the family's 1533-position model. The record is from RNAcentral.